Molecule: ribosomal RNA, 771 nt
Filed under: uncultured organism
Description: SSU rRNA
Rfam family: Bacterial small subunit ribosomal RNA
Source: RNAcentral
GACGAACGCUGGCGGCGUGCUUAACACAUGCAAGUCGAACGGAAAGGCCCUGCUUUUGUGGGGUGCUCGAGUGGCGAACGGGUGAGUAACACGUGAGUAACCUGCCCUUGACUUUGGGAUAACUUCAGGAAACUGGGGCUAAUACCGGAUAGGAGCUCCUGCUGCAUGGUGGGGGUUGGAAAGUUUCGGCGGUUGGGGAUGGACUCCCGCCUUAUCCGCUUGUUGGUGGGGUAGUGGCUUACCAAGGCUUUGACGGGUAGCCGGCCUGAGAGGGUGACCGGCCACAUUGGGACUGAGAUACGGCCCAGACUCCUACGGGAGGCAGCAGUGGGGAAUAUUGCACAAUGGGCGGAAGCCUGAUGCAGCAACGCCGCGUGCGGGAUGACGGCCUUCGGGUUGUAAACCGCUUUCGCCUGUGACGAAGCGUGAGUGACGGUAAUGGGUAAAGAAGCACCGGCUAACUACGUGCCAGCAGCCGCGGUGAUACGUAGGGUGCGAGCGUUGUCCGGAUUUAUUGGGCGUAAAGGGCUCGUAGGUGGUUGAUCGCGUCGGAAGUGUAAUCUUGGGGCUUAACCCUGAGCGUGCUUUCGAUACGGGUUGACUUGAGGAAGGUAGGGGAGAAUGGAAUUCCUGGUGGAGCGGUGGAAUGCGCAGAUAUCAGGAGGAACACCAGUGGCGAAGGCGGUUCUCUGGGCCUUUCCUGACGCUGAGGAGCGGAAGCGUGGGGAGCGAACAGGCUUACAUACCCUGGUAGUCCGCGCUGUAAACGGU